UAUUAUCUUUGAGUUGUUUACUGAAGUACGGAGCCCGCCUGGAGAAUGGAGGUGUUAUGUCUUUAAGAAAUAGUCGAAGUUAGGAGCUCGCCUGGAGAAUGGAGGUGUUAUAUUUUUUAAGUCAUAAUUGAAGUCAGGAGCCCGCCUGAAAAAUGGAGGUGUUAUAUUUCUUGAGAAGGUUGAAGUCAGGAGCCCGCCUGGAGAAUGAAGGUGUUAUGUUUUUAAGAAAUUAUCGAAGUUAGGAGCUCGCCUGAA
RNAcentral lists this long non-coding RNA (255 nucleotides) under Nicotiana tabacum (common tobacco). RNAcentral's name for it is "long non-coding RNA (NTAB_LNC008668)". Lineage: Eukaryota; Viridiplantae; Streptophyta; Magnoliopsida; Solanales; Solanaceae. The record is from RNAcentral.